UGGGGGAUAUUGCACAAUGGGCGCAAGCCUGAUGCAGCGACGCCGCGUGAGCGAAGAAGUAUUUCGGUAUGUAAAGCUCUAUCAGCAGGGAAGAAAAUGACGGUACCUGACUAAGAAGCUCCGGCUAAAUACGUGCC
RNAcentral lists this ribosomal RNA (137 nucleotides) under uncultured bacterium. RNAcentral's name for it is "partial 16S ribosomal RNA". It matches the Rfam family "Bacterial small subunit ribosomal RNA", at positions 355 to 509 of the family's 1533-position model. The record is from RNAcentral.